Molecule: long non-coding RNA, 248 nt
Filed under: Carica papaya (papaya)
Lineage: Eukaryota; Viridiplantae; Streptophyta; Magnoliopsida; Brassicales; Caricaceae
Description: long non-coding RNA (CPAP_LNC002726)
Source: RNAcentral
AUGCCCAUUUCUAGCCAGCUAAACCAUGGCAAGAUGUACGGCCACGGUGAUACCAAAAAUAGUGGCCCUAAUAGAUAUUUAUAGUCACGACAUUACUUAGCCACGGGUGACCACUCUCGUCAAAGAGUACGCCAUCAUCCACUAAAAGCAGUCCUUUUACGUUUUUUCCAGACCAGAUAGGGGAGGGGGAAACAAAUACCUCGAAGGGCAAGGAAAACAGAUACCCCUCAUAGAUAAAAAGCCUAACG